RNAcentral lists this long non-coding RNA (2014 nucleotides) under Strongylocentrotus purpuratus (purple sea urchin). RNAcentral describes it as "carbohydrate sulfotransferase 11, transcript variant X2". The record is from RNAcentral. Lineage: Eukaryota; Metazoa; Echinodermata; Echinoidea; Camarodonta; Strongylocentrotidae.
UAAUGAUUCUCCGAAAUAAUUUCCUAGAUAUAGAACAUCGGUCUGAUCGUGCAACUAAGGUAAGCCUAAGCUUUACACCGUGUUACGUAACAAGGAUAUUAUAAUUGUGAUUUUAUUUUAAAACCGUAUUUUUGCUCGUAUCCAUGCAUUGGUCGCGCUGGUAGGGCUUCACCGUCUCGCAUACGCUUUCUUUAGUAAACAUACACCAAUCAGUCUAACAAUCGGGGGUUGGAAUGCGAAGAAGGUCCGUGUCCCCUGGUUCACACUUUGUAUUCGACUACGGAUGCGAAAGGACUGGGAGGGAUCAACGUGUUAUAAGACGGAGUAUAAGAUUCGGGAUGUUAUAGCCGAUUAACUUCUUUUCACGGACUAUACAGUGAUUUGUCUACACACUUUGCCCUGUGCAAACAGAUCGAAUUGUCCAUCUCGCUAUGAAGUCGGUUACCAAGGAGACUGUAGUUAAUAUUCAAGUUCCUGACGAAAUGGCCGCCAGGUUCAGACCUGCCUUCUUAACUCGUACCUUCAUCAUUCUCAUAUUCAUUUUUUCUGUCGGUUCGUUGUUCUACACCACUACGCAGCUGCAAACUCCACAUCCCCAGACAGCAAGGAGCAUUACCAGAACGGGUUCAUUGCAACUAAAACACUCUUCUAUUGAUGGAAGCCAGUUGGACAUCUCAAAUAAAGCACAACAUCUCCACGAUUUAAUUAAUCAGCUACCUCAUAUUAAUCCAAAUAACAACUCAUUUCCUACCGGAGGAGAUCUACGAAAAAUCUCGGGGAAAAAUGUAACGUUUGUUUUGCCAAGAAGUCUCCUUAAUCUGAACAAAACGAAACUGUAUCUUUAUCACCAAGGUGACGAAAAAUCAAGAACUCUUGAGGAAGAACAUCUCAUUUUGGUGGAACCUCGACGGGUGAAGCUCUCACGAGAGAGAGCAAUGAAGAGGACGGAGAUGAGAGCAUUGAAGACUCGCACAUGGGAGCAAACCCAAGCGGCCCGUCGGCAGCUUGUGAACGAUGUGUGCGAAAAGCGACCCGAACUCCGUAACGGAACCUUAGCCCACAUCAUCAGCGCAAACCGAACGAAACUGUCGCAUUUCCUCGUGAGCGAUCGCUUCAAGAUCAUCAUCAUGGCUGUCCCGAUGGCAGCUUCCGGCUUCUGGAAGGAAGCUAUCAAUCAGUUGUCUUUCCCUGGGUCGCGAAGUGGUGCUUCGGCUGAAGGUGACGCUUUGAGACUUCUAAGCACCUACGACAAGACUGAAAUCCGUCACCGUCUCCGAGAGUACAAGAAGCUUCUGUUUGUGCGGGAUCCAUUUGCGCGUUUCGUCUCUGCGUACCGCCGAAAGUUUCUGUCACCAUCUGAUUAUUCUAAGCAAUAUGAAACCAUCAUUGCAGAGACUUACCGACAAUGGAACACGGGAGUCAACUCCAACAAAACCUCCAAUAUCAGUUUCCAAGAAUUCGCGUAUUUUGUGGAAGAUUCAUGGGACGACAUUUUCGAGGGUCUUUGGCAGCCGACGUCCAAGUUGGCAAUGCCUUGUGAAAUCAAAUACGACUUCAUCGGAAAACUGGAAGAAGGUCCGCUAGAGUUUAACAACAUGCUUAAAAGCGCGAAAAUACAUUCCCUUGUCAAGUAUAAACCGUCUGGUAAGACACACAGUCAUAAAGGAUCCAUUUAUGAUCAUUAUUUCUUACAAUUAUGGACAAAUCAGAUCAAACGGCUCUAUGAAAAAUACGAAGAUGAUUUUUUAAUGUUUGGAUAUUCAAUACCUACUUAUAUGCAUCCAUGGGUAUUUGGCGGGUUCAACGUUCCAGAACAUUAAUUUUGUUAACAUUUUUGGAAAUAUAUACAUGUUUAUUCUCUGAAAUAGUAAUCAUAAUCUACCGUCUUGUAUUACGAUAUAUUUAACAUAUCUUCGAUAUUCAUGAAAUAUACACUGUUAGUCAUAAUGGUGGAAUAAUUAUUUUCCGGGGGAAAAUAUAAUGAAUUAUUGAUAAUUCAUGGCAUUUUCUUUGU